GAAGGUGUAGCUCAGUGGUAGAAUGCGUGCCUAGCAUGCACAACAUCCUGGGUUCAAUCCCCAGUACUUCCA
This 72-nucleotide transfer RNA is filed under the name Camelus bactrianus (Bactrian camel). It matches the Rfam family "tRNA". Rfam says of the family: Transfer RNA (tRNA) molecules are approximately 80 nucleotides in length. Their secondary structure includes four short double-helical elements and three loops (D, anti-codon, and T loops). Further hydrogen bonds mediate the characteristic L-shaped molecular structure. tRNAs have two regions of fundamental functional importance: the anti-codon, which is responsible for specific mRNA codon recognition, and the 3' end, to which the tRNAs corresponding amino acid is attached (by aminoacyl-tRNA synthetases). tRNAs cope with the degeneracy of the genetic code in two manners: having more than one tRNA (with a specific anti-codon) for a particular amino acid; and 'wobble' base-pairing, i.e. permitting non-standard base-pairing at the 3rd anti-codon position. RNAcentral also lists the same sequence under 3 other names. Lineage: Eukaryota; Metazoa; Chordata; Mammalia; Artiodactyla; Camelidae. The record is from Rfam by way of RNAcentral.